Molecule: ribosomal RNA, 253 nt
Filed under: uncultured bacterium
Lineage: Bacteria
Description: partial 16S ribosomal RNA
Rfam family: Bacterial small subunit ribosomal RNA
Source: RNAcentral
UACGUAGGGGGCUAGCGUUGUCCGGAUUUAUUGGGCGUAAAGAGCGUGUAGGCGGCCAGGUAGGUCUGCUGUGAAAACUCGAGGCUUAACCUCGAGAUGUCGGCGGAAACCAUCUGGCUAGAGUCCGGAAGAGGAGAGUGGAAUUCCUGGUGUAGCGGUGAAAUGCGCAGAUAUCAGGAGGAACACCAAUUGCGAAGGCAGCUCGCUGGGACGUUACUGACGCUGAGACGCGAAAGCGUGGGGAGCAAACAGG